Molecule: long non-coding RNA, 531 nt
Organism: Rhineura floridana
Lineage: Eukaryota; Metazoa; Chordata; Lepidosauria; Squamata; Rhineuridae
Exons: 3
Source: RefSeq, a predicted model, not a curated record
AGGUAUCAAACAGGUACAUAGGUCAGGACUGACCACCACUCCUCUCAAGACGCACAGGAAAUGUUAAACAUGUGUUUGAUACCAGGUUGCAGCAGUAGCCAAGUAUACCUUUCGUUUGUUUCAUCUUGUGAAAAUGCUGUGGCCCUUUUUACUUGAUCAAAACCUGUCAAUUAUUUCUUGACAAUCUGAAGAAGUACUUGUAAUGUACUAGUCCAGAGUUAUAAACAGCCACUUACUGGAUCACCUCUGGCUAACAAAGAUGUACAGCAGCUAUUCAGAAAGAAAAUGACAGUGGGGUUUUUGUUCUUACACUUCUUGCAUUAGACUAUGCCCCAAUAGUGGGCCGCAACCCACCAGCCAAACACCUAUAUUUACGUAAUGGGAGGGGCUUGAACAAGAUGAAGGAUGAGAAAGGGCUCUUUCAUACUGUCCCCCAUCCUGCAAAAAAAUUACAAACUUCAUCUGAUGCACCACCAGGCCCUUGUCUAGUAUAUAACAUUGUCCAUACUUGAGGCUACACAGAAUCCGGAA